GGAGGGGUGGCCGAGAGGCUUAAGGCGCACGCUUGGAAAGCGUGUGUACGCAAGUACCGUGAGUUCGAAUCUCACCUCCUCCG
RNAcentral lists this transfer RNA (83 nucleotides) under Desulfocapsa sulfexigens DSM 10523. It matches the Rfam family "tRNA". From Rfam's summary of the family: Transfer RNA (tRNA) molecules are approximately 80 nucleotides in length. Their secondary structure includes four short double-helical elements and three loops (D, anti-codon, and T loops). Further hydrogen bonds mediate the characteristic L-shaped molecular structure. tRNAs have two regions of fundamental functional importance: the anti-codon, which is responsible for specific mRNA codon recognition, and the 3' end, to which the tRNAs corresponding amino acid is attached (by aminoacyl-tRNA synthetases). tRNAs cope with the degeneracy of the genetic code in two manners: having more than one tRNA (with a specific anti-codon) for a particular amino acid; and 'wobble' base-pairing, i.e. permitting non-standard base-pairing at the 3rd anti-codon position. The record is from Rfam by way of RNAcentral. Lineage: Bacteria; Pseudomonadati; Thermodesulfobacteriota; Desulfobulbia; Desulfobulbales; Desulfocapsaceae.